Cajanus cajan (pigeon pea) is the source of this 381-nucleotide non-coding RNA. The record is from RefSeq and is a predicted model, not a curated record. NCBI's taxonomy places the organism in Eukaryota, Viridiplantae, Streptophyta, Magnoliopsida, Fabales, Fabaceae.
CAGCAAGGAGAAGCAAAAAAAGCAUUGGAAGUUAUUCAGAAGCCUUCUGUACCUAUAGAUCUUCAGUAUAAGUUUGCUCCGGACCUUAUUGCCCUUGAUGCAUAUGAAACCGUGGAAUCAUGGAUAGCUACAAAGAAUCUGAAUCCAAGGAAACUGAUUCCUGCAAUGAUGCGUUAUUCAAGUGAACCACAUGCAAAGAAUGAGACACAUGAAGUCAUUAAAUAUCUUGAAUAUUGUGUUCAUCGAUUACAUAAUGAAGAUCCUGGAGUUCAUAAUCUGCUACUUUCUUUAUAUGCAAAACAGGUUGCUUUAUACAUCCAUGAUCCAUGUACUUCUGAUAUGGUGAUUAUUAAGGGUGUUUCACAUUCCUACUAUAUUAUG